RNAcentral lists this transfer RNA (87 nucleotides) under Candidatus Jorgensenbacteria bacterium. RNAcentral describes it as "tRNA-Ser". It matches the Rfam family "tRNA". From Rfam's summary of the family: Transfer RNA (tRNA) molecules are approximately 80 nucleotides in length. Lineage: Bacteria; Candidatus Joergenseniibacteriota. The record is from RNAcentral.
GGAGGAGUGCCUGAGUGGUUGAAGGGGCCGUUCUCGAAAAACGGUAUACGGGAAACCGUAUCGUGAGUUCGAAUCUCACCUCCUCCG